Molecule: long non-coding RNA, 955 nt
Filed under: Homo sapiens (human)
Lineage: Eukaryota; Metazoa; Chordata; Mammalia; Primates; Hominidae
Description: HSALNT0318804
Source: RNAcentral
CCCGCCCUCCGCCUUCCCCGGGAUUCCGUGCUGUGCGGGCCGGGCGCUGGCGUUGGAUUGAGAUUCAUGGACUAUCUGCCAUGCCCCAAACACCAGGCAGAGUGCUAAGGGGACACAAAGAUGAAUAAGAUGUGACCCCUGCUCUCUAGGAUCCUGUCGCAUAGAUGAAGAGAUAGAACAUAUCCAUAAAAAGAUAACUAAUGACCGACAUUGCGUGCUGCCGACACGUGUUAUGGUCCUGCGGGCUACAGAAAUUCAGAGGAGGAAGACAGAUGACUGCAGUGUGGCAGCUGCUCCUCGGGCACUUACAGGAGCUUGUUAGGAUGAGGACAGAAGACUUCAUAGCACAGAGGGAACUGUGACACCAGCUUUAUAUCACACGAUAGAAAAUACCCAGUUCUGUGAGUUGACUGGGCAUUCUGCAUCACAAGGUGUGGCUGGGCACUGGAACAGCCGAAGUCACCUGGGAGCUGACUGGGUUGGACUGUCCAGGAUGGUUCACUCCUACGACAGUGGAUGCUCAACUGGGGCUGUCAACUGGAGCCCCCAUAGUGCCUUUGUGAACAUGGGGGUCCCCAAGUUUUCAGCGGGUGAAGCCAGCAGGCAACAGCUCACACUGGCAUUUUGUCAGUCGGGCACCUUUAUCUUGGCAUUUGGGCUUCCAUCCAGGCUGCCUCAGCUCUUUUGAAUGAACAUGGCCUGCAAAUAGUUCAUCCACAGAGCUGGCUUGGCAGGCGAAGGCUUCUCAGCCCAAGCAGGGGGCUCGAUCUGCCUGCUCUCCUUUCUGUGGCCUCGGAUCCAGCCCUCACUUCUUACCUCCACCAGAUUUGGAGUUUUCAGAGCUAACUGAGGCUUCGGGAAAAGUUCUGUGUUUGGACAAAGCUUUGCAAUAAGGCAGAUCUGGGUUUGAAUCAUCAAUUUAUUUAAUCCUGAAAACCUCAAUUUUAUCUGUAAA